UACGGAGGAUGCGAGCGUUAUCCGGAUUUAUUGGGUUUAAAGGGUGCGUAGGCGGAACGUUAAGUCAGCGGUAAAAUUGCGGGGCUCAACCCUGUACCGCCGUUGAAACUGGCGUUCUAGAGUGGGCGAGAAGUAUGCGGAAUGCGAGGUGUAGCGGUGAAAUGCAUAGAUAUCACGCAGAACUCCGAUUGCGAAGGCAGCAUACCGGCGCCCGACUGACGCUGAGGCACGAAAGCGUGGGGAUCGAA
RNAcentral lists this ribosomal RNA (248 nucleotides) under uncultured Muribaculaceae bacterium. RNAcentral describes it as "partial 16S ribosomal RNA". It matches the Rfam family "Bacterial small subunit ribosomal RNA", at positions 524 to 772 of the family's 1533-position model. The record is from RNAcentral. Lineage: Bacteria; Pseudomonadati; Bacteroidota; Bacteroidia; Bacteroidales; Muribaculaceae.